CAGUGGGCAACCUACCAGCUCCAGGUCAUCUGUGUGGAGAUACUGAGAAAUCUGAAAUGGUAUCAGCCUGUGACUUUGGAGACAGGGCACCUCCAUGAGGGUGACCCUGGCUGCCCAGGACUGGGAACGGAACUGGACCCUGCCGACGUAGGACCUGAAUGAACGUGAGACCCCUUUUCAACAACAGA
This is a non-coding RNA of Odocoileus virginianus texanus, 188 nucleotides long. Lineage: Eukaryota; Metazoa; Chordata; Mammalia; Artiodactyla; Cervidae. The record is from RefSeq and is a predicted model, not a curated record.